AACAGGAUUAGAUACCCUGGUAGUCCACGCCGUAAACGAUGAGUGCUAAGUGUUAGAGGGUUUCCGCCCUUUAGUGCUGCAGCAAACGCAUUAAGCACUCCGCCUGGGGAGUACGGUCGCAAGACUGAAACUCAAAGGAAUUGACGGGGGCCCGCACAAGCGGUGGAGCAUGUGGUUUAAUUCGAAGCAACGCGAAGAACCUUACCAGGUCUUGACAUCCUCUGACAACCCUAGAGAUAGGGCUUCCCCUUCGGGGGCAGAGUGACAGGUGGUGCAUGGUUGUCGUCAGCUCGUGUCGUGAGAUGUUGGGUUAAGUCCCGCAACGAGCGCAACCCUUGAUCUUAGUUGCCAGCAUUCAGUUGGGCACUCUAAGGUGACUGCCGGUGACAAACCGGAGGAAGGUGGGGAUGACGUCAAAUCAUCAUGCCCCUUAUGACCUGGGCUACACACGUGCUACAAUGGGCAGAACAAAGGGCAGCGAAGCCGCGAGGCUAAGCCAAUCCCACAAAUCUGUUCUCAGUUCGGAUCGCAGUCUGCAACUCGACUGCGUGAAGCUGGAAUCGCUAGUAAUCGCGGAUCAGCAUGCCGCGGUGAGUACGUUCCCGGGCCUUGUACACACCGCCCGUCACACCACGAGAGUUUGUAACACCCGAAGUCGGUGAGGUAACCUUUUGGAGCCAGCCGCCGAAGGUGGGACAGAUGAUUGGGGUGAAGUCGUAACAAGGUAACC
This 730-nucleotide ribosomal RNA is filed under the name uncultured bacterium. Its description in RNAcentral is "bacterial SSU rRNA". It matches the Rfam family "Bacterial small subunit ribosomal RNA", at positions 771 to 1501 of the family's 1533-position model. The record is from RNAcentral.